GGAGCGGGUAGGCCCAGCAUAACUGUGGAGACUGACCUGUGUCUAGAGCCUAUCCUGACAAGCGGAGUCUGCCGCGAGUCCCUGGUGUCCCCUCCGGGGCGCUCGUAGAGCCACCUUCCCGAGCGGAAGUCAGCCUGCGGACCGGACUCGGGUGGGGCCUGCUCGGAGGAAUGGCGCCGCCGGGUUCAAGCACUGUUUUCCUGUUGGCCCUGACAAUCAUAGUCAACACCCAGGCUCUGACACCCACUCACUACCUCACCAAACAUGACGUGGAGAGAUUGAAAGCCUCCCUGGACCGUCCUUUCACAAGUUUGGAAUCUGCCUUCUACUCCAUCGUGGGACUCAGCAGCCUUGGGGCCCAGGUGCCAGAUGUAAAGAAAGCAUGCACCUUCAUCAAAUCUAACCUUGAUCCCAGCAAUGUGGAUUCUCUCUUCUAUGCUGCCCAGUCCAGCCAGGUCCUCUCAGGGUGUGAGAUCUCUAUUUCAAAUGAGACCAAAGAUCUGCUUCUGGCAGCUGUCAGUGAAGACUCAUCUGUUACCCAGAUCUACCAUGCAGUCGCAGCCCUUAGUGGCUUUGGCCUUCCCGUGGCAUCCCAGGAAGCACUUGGUGCCCUUACUGCUCGUCUUGGCAAGGAGGAAACCGUGCUGGCAACAGUCCAGGCUCUGCAGACAGCGUCCCAUCUGUCCCAGCAGGCGGACCUGAGGAGCAUUGUGGAAGAGAUUGAGGACCUUGUUGCUCGCCUGGAUGAACUGGGGGCGGUGUAUCUCCAGUUUGAAGAAGGAUUGGAAACCACAGCAUUAUUUGUUGCUGCCACCUACAAGCUCAUGGACCAUGUGGGGACCGAACCAUCUAUUAAGGAGGAUCAGGUUAUCCAGCUAAUGAACACAGUCUUCAGCAAGAAGAACUUUGAGUCACUCUCUGAAGCCUUCAGUGUGGCCUCUGCUGCUGCUGCACUCUCCCAGAAUCGCUACCAUGUGCCAGUUGUGGUUGUGCAUGAGGGCUCUGCUUCUGACACUCAGGAACAGGCUAUCCUGCGGUUGCAGGUCACCAAUGUUCUGUCCCAGCCUCUGACUCAGGCCGCGGUUAAACUAGAACACGCCAAGUCUGUAGCGUCCAGAGCCACAGUCCUCCAGAGGACUCCUUUCACCCCUGUGGGGGAUAUUUUUGAACUAAACUUCGUGAAUGUCAAAUUUUCCAGUGGUUACUAUGACUUCUCUGUAAAAGUUGAAGGUGACACCCGUUAUAUUGCAAACACUGUAGAGCUCAGAGUCAAGAUCUCCACUGAAGUUGGCAUCACAAAUGUUGAUCUGUCCACUGUGGAUAAAGAUCAGAGUAUUGCACCCAAAACUACCCGGGUAACCUACCCGGCCAAAGCCAAGGGCACAUUCAUCGCGGACAGCCACCAGAACUUCGCCUUGUUCUUCCAGCUUGUGGAUGUGAACACUGGUGCUGAACUUACCCCUCACCAGACAUUUGUCCGACUCCAUAAUCAGAAGACUGGCCAAGAAGUGGUAUUUGUUGCUGAGCCAGACAACAAGAAUGUGUACAAAUUUGAACUAGACACCUCUGAAAGAAAAAUCGAAUUUGAUUCAGCCUCAGGCACCUACACUCUGUACUUAAUCAUCGGAGAUGCCACUUUGAAGAACCCAAUCCUCUGGAAUGUGGUAUGUGUCUGGAUGCACCUGACCCAGGCUGAUGUGGUCAUCAAGUUCCCAGAAGAAGAAGCUCCCUCCACUGUCCUGUCCCAGAACCUUUUCACCCCGAAACAGGAAAUUCAGCACCUGUUCCGAGAGCCUGAGAAGAGGCCCCUCACAGUGGUGUCUAACACAUUCACGGCCCUGAUACUCUCGCCUUUGCUUUUGCUUUUUGCUCUGUGGAUCCGGAUUGGAGCCAAUGUCUCCAACUUCACUUUUGCUCCUAGCACGAUUAUCUUUCACCUGGGACAUGCUGGGUCAUCAUCUUCACAUCCAUAGUGUAUAGCUUCUGGAGAUGACUCCCAUGAAAUUCCAGGCAAAUGUGUGUCUGCAUUUUUCUGGGGAAAGAGACAGUCCAUAACUUUUUUUUUUUUGGUACCGGGGAUCAAGCUCAGGACCUUACGCUUGCGAGCUAUGCUGGGACUCAUGUAUGUCUACUGGACUCAGCUCAACAUGUUCCAGACCCUGAAGUACCUGGCCAUCCUGGGCAGUGUGACAUUUCUGGCUGGCAAUCGGAUGCUGGCCCAGCAGGCAGUUAAGAGAACAGCACAUUAGUUCCAGGAAAAGGAUGGAAAAUUUGAAAACUUAAAUGAAUGUUGAAAAGAGGAGUCAAAAACAGUUCACAGUGUGAAAAGAGAAACGAAAAAAAGUCACUUUAUUUAAAAAGAGAAAGUUUGAAAUGUGGUUACUUUUGCUUGUUUUUCAGUUUCCCCUACACAGAGCAGAUACCCGUGGCUCAGAUUGUCUGUAUCUUUGGCAUGAUGCCGUAGCAAGAUGCUGUGAAUGUCCUACUACCCAGAUGUUGCAUUGAAAAGUUGAAACCUGUAAUUAAUCUGCUUUUGAAAUAAAGAGAAUAAUAGGAACAAA
This is an RNA transcript of Heterocephalus glaber (naked mole-rat), 2561 nucleotides long. It is a transcript of the gene named ribophorin II, with no coding region annotated. NCBI's taxonomy places the organism in Eukaryota, Metazoa, Chordata, Mammalia, Rodentia, Bathyergidae. The record is from RefSeq and is a predicted model, not a curated record.